GGUUCAUCAGGCUAACAUUUGUCUUCAUCGUUACCCGUGCAUGGAACAUACUGGCUGGAUGUUACCAUUUUGGACCCUCUACCAGCACAGUCAGAAGGGAUUUCGAUGUGAACGAGCAGCCUCAAGCAUUCAACGUCACCGGCAUUCUGACACCACCGCUCAUCCACCACCUGUUGGACACCACCACCUGUUGUCUUGUUUAGUGCACCUGGUCCACCUUCACAAUCAUUCCCCCCAGUAUAUGUUUCCACUGCUUCCCUGGUCUUUGUGUGUUAUUGUCUCACUGUUGUGAGCAUUGUUUGUGCUAUGCCAUUAUUAAAAGACGUUAAACAUACAACUCCACGUUUCCUGCUCCUCGCUUACUACGAAGCCUAACAGAAUAACACACCCAAAAAGGAAACAUGGAGCACAGAGGACCCGAAAGUAAGGCCGGUGUUGCGGAUCUGGUAAAGGAACACUCGUCGAUGCUCGCCAGCCUAGGCACCGCGAU
Long non-coding RNA from Esox lucius (northern pike), 490 nucleotides. The record is from Ensembl. NCBI's taxonomy places the organism in Eukaryota, Metazoa, Chordata, Actinopteri, Esociformes, Esocidae.